CUACGUGCCAGCAGCCGCGGUAAUACGGAAGGUCCAGGCGUUAUCCGGAUUUAUUGGGUUUAAAGGGAGUGUAGGCGGUUUGUUAAGCGUGUUGUGAAAUUUAGGUGCUCAACAUUUAACUUGCAGCGCGAACUGUCAGACUUGAGUACACGCAACGUAUGCGGAAUUCAUGGUGUAGCGGUGAAAUGCUUAGAUAUCAUGAAGAACUCCGAUUGCGAAGGCAGCAUACGGGAGUGUAACUGACGCUUAAGCUCGAAGGUGCGGGUAUCGAACAGGAUUAGAUACCCUGGUAGUCCGCACAGUAAACGAUGGAUGCCCGCUGUUAGCGCCUGGUGUUAGCGGCUAAGCGAAAGCAUUAAGCAUCCCACCUGGGGAGUACGCCGGCAACGGUGAAACUCAAAGGAAUUGACGGGGGCCCGCACAAGCGGAGGAACAUGUGGUUUAAUUCGAUGAUACGCGAGGAACCUUACCCGGGCUUGAAUUGCAGAGGAAUUAUUUAGAGAUA
RNAcentral lists this ribosomal RNA (505 nucleotides) under uncultured bacterium. RNAcentral's name for it is "bacterial SSU rRNA". It matches the Rfam family "Bacterial small subunit ribosomal RNA", at positions 501 to 1008 of the family's 1533-position model. The record is from RNAcentral.